Brassica napus (rape) is the source of this 2630-nucleotide long non-coding RNA. RefSeq lists it as uncharacterized. The record is from RefSeq and is a predicted model, not a curated record. Lineage: Eukaryota; Viridiplantae; Streptophyta; Magnoliopsida; Brassicales; Brassicaceae. The transcript has 2 exons.
ACAGAUGAACACGAAAAAGUUCUAGAACAACAUCAGAGCGUAGAAUUGUAUAACGAUGAAACGUUGAGGCUUUUUGUUCGUUGCUGAACGUUUUGAUGAACGACUUGGAAAACACUUGCCGUUUUAGUUAUAAAUGUAUUUUCCUUCUCUUUUCCCAGAAAAAAGGCAUCAAAUGCUCGGAAAGGACUAAGGGGUUCAAAAAAUUCUCCUAUGGAUCUCAUGUAUUUUUGUUUAAAACUAUCUAUUAAAAAUAAUUCGAAAAUAGGGGAAAAAUACCAAGAAACCGAAGAAUUUCGACUUAUUUACGAACCCAACCCAGCUUAUUAACCCUAAAUUCCCAAUCUCAUCUCUCCCCACUCACGAUUUCAAUCUCCCCUCUCCCAUAACCACCACGAUCUCGUCGGACCAUCACUCUAUACCUCAUCUCGAACCCCUAAUCAAACUCAGAUUCAAGCACAAUCAUCUCAAAACAACUAUCCCCAUCUCCAAUUUCAUGUGCGCAAUGUCGCCAAAAAGUCGGCUCGUAUGCGCAAUUUAGUUUAAAUAGUGUAACUGGUACAACUAAGUGAUUUUGUGUUGUAUAACUUGGUUAUUUAUUCAGUGUAUUUUAUUUGUGUUUUUCAGGUUGAGGGGGAUGAUAUGACCGUAGAAGUUGACAGACCUGCUGUUUUUUUCUUCAAACCGAGCGACUAUGGAAAGGGUUGCAAGCUCUCCUCAAGGUGCCACCACAGUUCAAGCAUAUAUUUCACAUGGAUUGUUGCGCAACAAGAAAGGUGAUGGGAUUGUGGAUGUUGCUACUUCGUACUAUGCAUAUAGGAAAGGGUCGACAAGCUUGGUUUGGGGUAAACGGUGUUCCAAUUAGAUCCUCCAUCAGUGAACAUAGCCUCCUCUCUGGUUUAUACUGCCACGCAUACCCAAAAAACUAUCCGAGCAUAGGGAGAAUGAAAUUUGCGAGAAAGCAUUUUAAAAUGAAGAACACAAAGAAUGGGAAGGAAAAGGGUUUGCAAGUGACACAAGCGGAUGUCAAAGAGAAACUUCAGAAGAUGAAGGCUGAUGAUAGUGGUGAGCGUCUGAAGAUGGCGGUUCUUUACUUUUUGGCCAGAGUUGUAAGAGGAAGGUCAAAAGAAGGAUACUUCAUUGAGCAUUUCAUUCUCCCAGCAGUAGAUGAUCUGGAUUUUUUCACCAAGUUUCCAUGGGGCCGUUACACAUUUGAUGAUUGCAUGAAGGAGAUUUUUCACUUGAGGGAUCAUGUUCGUGAUGGGAUCCUGGAGAAGGCGCAAUGGGUAUUUCAUGGGUUUAUCAACCCUUUGGAGGUAUAUGAGUUGUAUUUUUCAUAAGCAUAUCUAUUAUUAUAAAAAAGAGUUUCCUCUCUCCAGGGCCUUCCACGUCGGAUGCCAGGUCAAUAAGUCGAGGUCUCACGUCGCGACACCUAUCCCUGCACACAAAACACAAUGCUUUGUUAAAUGAGUAUAUAGUCUGGGCUUUGUAUCGUGACGCGUUUGUUAGAUCAAAAAGAUUGGGCUCGACGCGUUUGUUUAAUAUUGGGCCCAAAGAAAAUGUACUCAAUAAACCUAAUCUGAUACCGCGAAAGCAAGUGUAUUCUUUUCUCUCUACUGCGUGGGACGGCGACGGUGGCGCUCGAGUUUCUUCACCGUUACCGAAUCAGAUUUCGUUAUGGUUUCUUGGUGUUUAAUCCCAUUAACUAUGACGCCCACUACGAGUUCUUCAAUGUGUGGUUUACGUCAGAGAAGCUCUGUCAAUUCGGGUAUAAAUAUGUAUGGAUUCCUCUUCUCGAAAUCAUCAUCUCCUCAUCUCUCUUCUCAUAUCUCUCUUAGAUUAUACUAAUCCACUUUUUAAUGGCUAACUCCAAGGUGUUCUUCUCCUAUUUGAAGGCCGGUAAGUGUUCAUCCGGCUAGGCUGUUGCGUUUCUGGGAGGCAAGGAAUGUGAAGCGCCCCUCCAGACUCAGACUUGGCGACUAUCGAGUUUCAGAUAAUUAUUUAAAAGAGUUUUCACCUAAUUUUGAAGAAGGCAUUCAGGUAACUUGAGCUCACACUUCUUGAUUUUGUUCUGUUUUUACUCUCUGCUAAUACAUGUUUUUUUAAAAAAUUCUUUUUAGUAGAUUGAUAGAUGAUGAGCUUGAGCAAGUUAGAGGCUUUUUAUCGAUGAAACUCUGCCGUUUAAAGAAUGGUUAAAGAUAUUGGGGGCUGUCCUCGCAUCAAGUUUUUCCAGUUUUUGUUUUACGCAUUAGACGAUGUGUUGUGAGAACAGCAAGUGAAUCACACAUUUUUUUUGUUGCAGAUACCUGGUGCAAAAGUUGGUUACAGACAAUACUGAUGCUGCCAUUUUUGUUGCAUUGGAUGGGUCAAUAACAAAGCUAAUCAAUGUUCGUGCCUCUGAGGUUUUCCCUGGUAUGGUUCUCCAAUUCGCCACAAGACAAAGCACAUGGUAACCAAGGGGAAAAAGAACUGCUAUGUUUUUCAGCAUCACGUUUUAGGAUUGUUCGUUUUAGUACAAAUGCUUUUAAGCCUAUUAUGUUCAGCUUCUGAGAAAGUGAGUUUAUUUGUUAUUUUUAUGAACCUGUCUUACUCCGCACAUUCCAUUUUAAGACAAUGUAAAAAAAUUAAUAUUA